Molecule: ribosomal RNA, 423 nt
Filed under: uncultured bacterium
Lineage: Bacteria
Description: bacterial SSU rRNA
Rfam family: Bacterial small subunit ribosomal RNA
Source: RNAcentral
AAGACCUUGCGCUUUUGGAGCGGCCGAUGUCUGAUUAGCUUGUUGGUGAGGUAAAGGCUUACCAAGGCUUCGAUCAGUAGCUGGUCUGAGAGGACGGCCAGCCACACUGGGACUGAGACACGGCCCAGACUCCUACGGGAGGCAGCGGUGGGGAAUUUUGGACAAUGGGGGCAACCCUGAUCCAGCCAUGCCGCGUGAGUGAAGAAGGCCUUCGGGUUGUAAAGCUCUUUCAGCCGGAACGAAACGGUUACGGUUAAUACCCGUGACUACUGACGGUACCGGAAGAAGAAGCACCGGCUAACUACGUGCCAGCAGCCGCGGUAAUACGUAGGGUGCAAGCGUUAAUCGGAAUUACUGGGCGUAAAGCGUGCGCAGGUGGUUUUGUAAGUCAGAUGUGAAAUCCCCGGGCUUAACCUGGGAACU